Long non-coding RNA from Dromaius novaehollandiae (emu), 6789 nucleotides. RefSeq lists it as uncharacterized. NCBI's taxonomy places the organism in Eukaryota, Metazoa, Chordata, Aves, Casuariiformes, Dromaiidae. The transcript is spliced from 2 exons. The record is from RefSeq and is a predicted model, not a curated record.
AGCUGUUCCAGUGUGCACCAUGUCCUAAUCCUGAAGAUGAAGAAAUUUGGGGGCUGAAUCACAAUUCCUGCCUGUUUUUGUUGUGUCGUGAAGCUUAUUCUUUAAUGCAUUUCUUAACUCUUCAGGAAGAAGAAACUCUGUCCAGCAGCAAGCUGCUGAGCUCCCAAGAGCCUGCUCGUCAGGAACUUCAGAGUCCUGAAGACAGCUUGAGUGAGCCAUCGCAGGAGGAGCAAGACACUGAAAACCAAGAAGGCAGUACAGAGGAUUCUUCUAGACAGCUGUGUCUCUGUCCUGAGACAAGAACAUCCCUCUCUUCAGGAGCCUCUGAAGAAGACAAUGACUCUGACUUGAAAGAGAGCAGAAGAUUUUUGCAGGUAUGACAUCAGCAUCCCCCUACAUCUCAGAAGAUAGCAGCUGUCAUGCUCUGACAUGGUUUAGGGGUACCCACUGAUAGGGUUCAGAAGACUUUCUUCUCUUUAUCCUGAGCCUUUCCUGCCUCACCAUCACUGCCCCCUGCCCCAUACUUAGUUCACUCCUCUAGCUUCCUGGUGGAAGGGCUUUAUUCUCAAAGCACCCAAAUGAGAAAGAGCUGCGGGAUGCCUCCGGGGUGUCUCCACCAACACAUCCUGCGCCCACAGGCUCCGGAGCCUCAUUUAAUCUCUGACCCUUCCCCACGGACCUUGCCUGAGCUACGCCACAGGGGGCCUGUGCCCGACCUUGCUGAUUCUGCCCUUGCCUUGCCCACCUGAUUUCCUGGCUUGCCCGUGACCUGCCUCGUCGCUAUGGGCUUGCUGGCAACUGCCAAAGUGUCAGCUGGCCCUGGUUACUGUCACCACUGUUAUGGAAAUUAGGCUUGUCGGCCACCAUAACAGGGCUCGACCCUAGGUUCCCGCAAGUAAAGUUCAGAGCCAAAUCAAAACAAAUUAAAUUUUAAUCACGCGCGUGCCAUAAUUACAGCUCGAGCUGGGUGCCUCCUAAGAGGGACCCUAACAUAAACAAAUCCUGGGCAAUUACAGUUUUUUCAACUUACAUUUCCCACCCCUCACGCGAUAGUUAGACCAAUAGUAAUUUUUUGGCCUGGGGUCUCCUGCUCCUCAUUGGGUCUCAUCGUCAUUCUGAGGUAAGCUGUUUUUCUCCUUAUUUUUGUUUUUUGCGGUCUCUGAUGACGGUUGUACCUCUGUUUUUGUUGGGUCUUACUGUUGUGUCUUAAGGUCCUGAGGAGGAGGUGAUUCUAAAUCAUAACAAUUAACACUGCCCCAGCAGUGAGCUGAGGCUUUGUCCCUCAAGGUCCUAAUGCCCUGCGCUGGUCUUCUUUCAAAGCCUUGACACCCUCCCUUUCGGGGUGUGAGAUACAUUCCUGCAGACACCCUCCCUUUCGGGGUGUGAGAGGCAGGAAUGCAGACUGCUUGUAACUUCCUUAUCUUCCUAGCUUGAACCAGCUCUGAGGCCCUUUUCUUACUGGACUAAGUAAAAGUUCAUUAUUUUAUCUAAGUGCGGCCUAAGGCUUCAGCAAAUUUAGCUACUCAUGCUAAGCAAAUGUUAUAGAAGUUGUGCUAAGCAGCUACCUCUAGACAGUUUCAGUUUGCUAUUCUUUAACAGUUCCCCCCUUUGUUUUUAUGAAGCAUCCCUGCUAAUACUUUAAACAGAGUUCUCAAAGCCUUGCAAGGCGUACUAUCACGUUCCAUAAUCUUAUGCAUGAUAUGAUCGUAAGCAAUAGGCAUAACACAGUUAAAGUUAGCACAACUACUACUGGGUGCAACACAUGAUUAUAAACGCUGUUGUAGUUGGUGACCACCCUAGAAGAGUUUCCCAGCCAUGAUGUUCUCCGUCCCUUUUUAUCCUUUCCGAGACGUGGUGUAUCUCUUCCGCAUCAUGACGAAUGGUGAUUAGAGUUUUCUGUCCACUGUUUCGGAUGCGUUCUAGCAGUCAACGCAAAUCAUCAUGUUAUAGUAGUUUCUUUACCAGGGUGAGAUUCAUCCCAAUGGGGGUAGGUAGUAAAUUUUGAAUUAAUGUAUGAGUAGAUUGUAACAAUUGAUAAGAUCUAAUAGGAGCUGAAUAAUUAAAGUCGCAUCCCAUAAUCUUGGGUAAAGUUACAAAUACAAAUAUUUGAGUGAUGACUUGUAUCUACAGCAAUGUUAUCUAUGAAUAUAAGAUUACUAAGUGUUCUUACACAUACACAUCCUUUUUUAACAUAUACAAGUACAGUUCAACUUUAGCAGCAAAAGAAGAACAUAGUAUGACAGUAUAUGGCCUGUUCCAUUUAGGUUUUAACUUGGAUUUUUGUGAAAAUACUUUAACUAAAACUUCAUCCCCAGGCUGUAUACCAAGCACUUGUAUGUCAGGUGGUGUGGAUUGAUAUCAUUGAGCAUAUAUAUAUAUAUACAUUUUUUUUUUUAAGAUUUUCAAACCUUUUUGCAUACUUAGAACAUACUGGGUUAGUCGUUCAUCUCUGUCUAACAGGCUGGUCUUAGCUGGAAUAAUAAGUCCCUAGUACAGCUAAAUGUCUCCCGAAGAGAAUUUCUGCUGGUGUUAUCCUAUGGGUUGCCAUGGGACAUUUCAAACAUGCCAUAGAGCUAAGUUUAAUGCUUCUGGCCAUUUUAGGCUAGCACGUGUGCAUAUUCUUGCUAUUUUUUCUUUUAAUGUUCUAUUCAUUCUUUCUACUUGUCCUGAAGAUUGUGGGUGAUAAGGGGUACAUAGGUUUCUUUUUAUUCCUAAUGAUUUAUAUAACUGAGUGAUUAUGCUGGCCGUGAAAUGGGCACCCCUAUCUGAAUCAAUGGCUUCUGGGACCCCAUACCUAGGUAUGAGUUCUUUCAGUAAGGCUUUUACCACUCCCCCUGUGUCGGCCUUUCUUGUUGGGAAAGCUUCUACCCAGCCUGAUAACUGAUCUACUAUCACUAACAAGUAUUUGCACCCAUUGGCGGAUGGCAUAUCCGCAUCAUCUAUUUGCAGCUUUUGGAAAGGGAAGUCAGCCCAUGGUCGCCUCCCCUAAAUCUGAGCUUGGCUUGUUAUUUGAAAACUUCUGGCAGGUCGGGCAGCUAUCUGUUAUUCUUUUAGCAGCUGCAUAAAUUCCUGGAGCAGCCCAUACUUUCUGUACCUGCUUAGCUAUUGCCUCGGCUCUCCCAUGAGCUUUAUCGUGAAACCACCUAGCUAUAGUAAUUAAAUAUUUUUUUUGGUAGAAUUGGUUUUCCUCCAAUUGUCCAUAUUCCAUCAUCACUUUGUUUUGCUUCCCACUGCUCCCACUGUUUUUUCUCUUCCACUGAGCAGUCUUUUUCAUACAUAGUUUUGGGGUCUAUUAAGUUUGGCCACUCACUCUGGUCCAUCCUUGGAACUGCCCCCAUACAUUCUUUCAGAGGCUGUCGAGCUGCAGCUUUUGCAGCAGCGUCGGCUAAAGCAUUUCCUCUGCUAAUUUCUGUAGUGUCUUUAGUAUGGGCUGGGCAGUGUAUUACAGCAAUUUCUUUGGGCAGUUGAACUGCUUCCAGCAAAUUACGUAUUUCUUCUCCAUUAGCUAAUUUCUUUCCUGAUGACGAAAAGAAUCCUCGUUCUUUCCAUCACAUCCCUGUUGCGUGACAUACUCCAAAUGCAUAUUUAGAAUCGGUAUAGAUAUUUACCCGCAGGUUCUUACCUGUUUUUGCUGCUUGGGUCAUUUUUGAGUGUACGCGAAAAAAUAGUCGGAGACCCAGUAAAUCCCUGUGGCAGCCUCGUCCAAGUUAAUUGUUGUCCCUUCUAAGUGAAAGCAAAGAGAUCUUGGCUGUCUUCAGCUCUCAGUAUACUAAAAAAGGCUGCUGUUAGGUCAAUCACAGUAAAAUAAGUUGCCCAAUGAGGUAUUUGUAGUAAAAUGGUUGAGGGGUCGGGAACUACUGAAUGUGGAGCAACUACAUGUUGGAUUAUAGCCCUUAAGUCUUGUACAAACCGAUACUCCGGAUCACCAUCAGAAUCUUGCCUGUUCUUUUUAACCGGCAGAAUCGGAGUGUUGUACAGAGAUUCACAGACUCUAAGGAUACCCAGUUUCAAAGAAUGAUUGAUUUGUUUUUGGAUACUCUUCUCUGCUUCCUUUGGGAUAGGGUAUUGUUUAACUGCAGGAGGCAAUCCCCCCUUUGUUUUUAUCGAGACUGGACUAGCUGAUUUCAGUAGUUCCACAUCCAUUCCUGAAGAGCUUCAUAACUUUUUAGAAACUGAUUCUAAACUUGUUGGAAUUUGCAGAUUAGUCGACUCUGGUUCUGGUGUCUUAGCCAGAACACAUGAGCCCAUAAUUAUUAAUUGUAUCCCUUCCGGCUGUAAACAGAUCUGCGUAUCCAAGGCUUGCAGGAGAUCUCUCCCUAAGAGGCAAGAGGGCGAGUCUGUGGAAAUUAUAAAACGUCCCCACACUGUUUUACCCCCAAUAGUGAGCAAUAAGGGCUUAGAUAACAUUCGUUCACCUUUUCCCAUGACUCCUUGCAUCACUAUUUUGUCUGAUGACUUGCAUCCUUUAGGCUCAAAAUUUAAAAGGGAAAGGGUGGCUCCAGUAUCUACUAGAAAGGGAACUUCUAAACCUUCUAUAUUUGCCAUUGUCUGCCCCUCAAAAUUCAAAUCUAUAUCCCAUAAAUUUACCCCAAUUUCCACAGUAUUUUCUGAGUCUCCUAUCUCCUGUCAUUGUGGGCUGACUGGGAAUUGCCUGGUCUCAUUCUUAGUGUUUGAUUUUCUCAUGCUGGCCCCUCUAUUCCCAAGUACACGGGGCCUCACUGGGCAUUCCUGCUUCCAGUGCCCUUGUUCCCCGCAAUAAUGACAAACAUCAUUAACUCUCAAUUGUACACCACGUUCACUUUGAUUCCAUCUACCUCCUCUGGUUCUGCCGCGCCCCCUCCCCUUGCCAGCCUGGCAUAUGCUCUUUAAAAUACUUUUGUGUAUCAGGGGCUGCUUGAUCUAUAAAAACACUAAUUGCGAGAGCAUCGUUGAAGUUUUGUGGGGUCAUUCCUCCAUAUUUUAGCAGGGCUUACCACAAAAGUCCCCAUAGUCGUGGGGGUGUUCAUCUAAUCACUGUCCGCAUUCUUGCACUUCAAUCCAAUUUACUCCUAACUCUCUGCAUGCUCUAAUUACUUCUGCUAAAUUCCAAAGUCCUGUUUGACACACAGCUCUAUCUCCUGCAUUAUUACAAUCCCAAUUUGGAUCAUUUGCUAGCCAGAGGUUUCUAUUCCCCCGGCUUGCUGCACUUCUUCCACAUCUUUAAUUAUCUUAUCCCAUUCUUUUGGUUGAAAUAAUUCCCUCAAAAGAAUUUGGGUAUCACUCCAGUUUGGGUUGUGCCCAGUGCAUAUAUUAGAAAAUAACUGGACACAUCGCUCUGCAUCCUUUCUUAAUCUCUGCAUUUUACCCCCCCCCCCCCAUAAGGCGAGAUCGCCAGGGUCCCGGGGUUGAUUAGUAAAUACCCACAGCACAGGAGGGGGGGACUGGCCCCUCCCUUUCCCCCCGGCUGUAAAGCGGCAGGGUUAGUCAGCACGUUGGGGAUCAUAGGAUAGAGUCCGGCAGCCGGUGGAGUAGAGGGAGAGGGAGGAGGAGAAGGAGAAGUAAUGACAGAGAGAUCAUCAGGCAUAUAAGGUGGAGCAGAAACUUUUGGAGCACAGUCCGGGGUACUAGUAUCUGCUCACACAAGUGUUACCUUCGGCAGGUUUCUUUCCUCCCUCCCUCCUGGCUCAAAUGCUUCCGUGCCCAUGCCCAGUUAUCCCAAACAUACCAGUAAUCCAUUAGACUUGGAAACCUGUCUUCUAGACGAUUUCACAAGGAAGUUAGUUCCUGCUGAUCAGAAGUCCCUUGCGGUGGCCACCAUUCUGCUGGGUUUCCCUCCUUUGUCAGGAAUGGGCAAUCCUCCUGACACAGCUGGAUCAACCUUUUUUCCUUAGAUUUUUUUGGUACUCCAGUUUUCCAAAAUUUUGGCUAAGGGCGUCCCCUUUUCUAUGCCGAAAUUAUUCCCCAUACUGAGUUUCUGAAAAGUGCGUCUUAAGCAAGUCAGGCAGCGCACUUCCUUACCAGUAACACCAGCCCCUGUAGCUGGUGCGAUCACACUCUCUUUCUCUCACUCUCUGGGAACCGCACUCCCACCCCCCGAGUCUUUAACUGCUAGGACUGCUGUCCCUGCGCAGCGGGCGGCUUCCUCAGCCGACGGGCGCCCCGGUCGGUUCCCAGGCUACACACACACACACACACACACACACACACACACACACACACACACACACAGAGUACUGUUCACGCUCACACCAGUCUCAGUGACUCUAGACUUCUGUCUUACAGUCUUGCAGUGCGCCUUAUGCUGAUCAGGCUGUGCAUCCCUGCUCCGGCUGGACCAAGCUGGGACUUACAACCCACUCAAACCCUGGGGAUGGAACUCGCACCCGUCCCCCUGGUACGCCUUACAGUGGCCAGCCCGUGUACCCCCCUGCCUGGUACGCCUUACGGUGAUCAGCCUGCCUACCCCUUACAGUGCACUGUUACCAGACCAGAAUUUAGAAUUUAGGCGGGAGUUUAAGACUCACCUUCUCGGUGCCUCUCGGUGCCAAAGAUCCCAGGUGAACUCACCCGAUGGCACCAGAUGAUCGUUUGGAGACGAGAGACCCCGACAGUGGUCGCCUAGGGUCCCAUCUGGGGUGCCAAACUGUUAUGGAAAUUAGGCUUGUCGGCCACCAUAACAGGGCUCGACCCUAGGUUCCCGCAAGUAAAGUUCAGAGCCAAAUCAAAACAAAUUAAAUUUUAAUCACGCGCGUGCCAUAAUUACAGCUCGAGCUGGGUGCCUCCUAAGAGGGACCCUAACAUAAACAAAUC